ACAAUUACUGCUCAAAUAGUUAACUAAAAUCAUGUGUUUCUUGCAUUUCACUUACUAGCACAGUUUUUAAAGUAUCUAGUGUAUAUAAGGACAAGCCAUUCUCAGUCAAGCAUGAAACUGAAUCUGAGGAACUUAAGCAGGAAAAGAAGAAAGCUGAAAACACACUGAGGAUUAUGGGAGAGGGGCAAGUGCAUGAAGCUUCUCAAUGACAUACAGACACUCUAAAAGCUCAAGAGAUCAAUUAUUCAACUUCAAGAACUGAAAUUUGAACACAGAUUUUGAGCUUCCAAAUCAGCAGCUACACAGGGAUAUUCAUCCAAGCAGAAAGAUAAUACCAGAGUUCCGAACUGGAGGCUGAAUAGCAAAAGGAAGAAAAGCACUUCACAUAAAAUAGACAGGCAUGCGACUGCUGUUAAACUGGCUCACUCCAUAUACUCUGUGCUACAGCAAUUUAAUAUUUCAUUAAAAAGCAUUAAUGAUGGCUCCAGUGAAUUUCUCCUAUUCAAGCUCCAUAAUGACAGCAGUUCAAGCGAGUGUUGAUCUCUGAGUGAUGCAACACAAAAACAUCGCCUAACAAAGGAACACUUGGAGUACUACUCAUAUUCUCUGCAACUUGAGGAGAAAAAGAAGUGUUCUAUAAGAAGUUUGGACAAGACUCUGCAAGAAGUUAAGAGGUCCUUAAAGGCAACUGUGAAUUAACGGAGACUAGUUUUGAGAAAAUCAGUCCUGAUUUGUUUCUCCUGGAGUUUUCUUCUUUAUGUGAUCCUUCAUAAAAGCUGCUAAUAUGGGAAAGAUUGAAAUCAGCAAGUUUCUGGCUGUAAGCUAAAAGAGGCUCUUGAAUCAUAUUUCCGCCUGCUUAGCAAAUUUCUCUUGCGACAAUUGGAUGUUAUUUGGGGUUCCAUACUAGCAGGAAGAAGUACAAGCAAAGCUAAGUCAUUUUGAGAAUAAAUAUUAUCUCUCUAUAUAUUUGUAAAUGUUAUUUUCUUUUUUUUUGAGGUUUAUGAUUGAUCCUUGGCAUGUGUCCCCUUGUGUAUUGCUCUACUAAAAAUAGCCUAAAAAAGAAUUUUCCCCUCGAUGUGGAGCUUCUCUUUAGUUACAAUUCUACUUUCUCCUUCACUUGAGUAUCAGUCUUCAGAGAACUACCAUAACAAAGGAGUGGAUACAGAUAUACGCAAAAAAGUCUAUGAGAAAAUUAGUACAUUAAAUUUGUGAAAGCUCAUUUAAAGUAAUUUUCUACUAACAAUUUUAAUCAAAUGUAUUAAUCAUAUUUCUAUGCUUAGUGAUGUUAAAUAAAAAUUUAAAAGGUGGCAAUCAAUAAACAGAGAUAAAAGCUUCUCAAGAAUAAAUGAAAGGAAGUAAUAAAAAGACUCACUAAGCUGAAUUGCCUCCUAUCAACAGCAGCUGAUAAAAUAUUAAAAGAUUUGCCUUGUGUA
Molecule: long non-coding RNA, 1433 nt
Filed under: Homo sapiens (human)
Lineage: Eukaryota; Metazoa; Chordata; Mammalia; Primates; Hominidae
Description: HSALNT0044575
Source: RNAcentral